This 253-nucleotide ribosomal RNA is filed under the name uncultured bacterium. RNAcentral's name for it is "partial 16S ribosomal RNA". It matches the Rfam family "Bacterial small subunit ribosomal RNA", at positions 524 to 776 of the family's 1533-position model. The record is from RNAcentral.
GACGUAGGGGGCGAGCGUUGUCCGGAUUUAUUGGGCGUAAAGCGUGCGUAGGCGGCUGCGCAAGUCGGUUGUGAAACCCCGGGGCUCAACCCCGGAACUGCAUCCGAUACUGCGUGGCUAGAGGUAGGUAGGGGAGAUCGGAAUUCCUGGUGUAGCGGUGAAAUGCGCAGAUAUCAGGAGGAACACCGGUGGCGAAGGCUGAUCUCUGGGCCUUACCUGACGCUCAGGCACGAAAGCUAGGGGAGCGAACAGG